This 484-nucleotide ribosomal RNA is filed under the name uncultured bacterium. Its description in RNAcentral is "partial 16S ribosomal RNA". It matches the Rfam family "Bacterial small subunit ribosomal RNA", at positions 30 to 507 of the family's 1533-position model. The record is from RNAcentral.
AUUGAACGCUGGCGGCAGGCCUAACACAUGCAAGUCGAGCGGAUGAAGGGAGCUUGCUCCUGGAUUCAGCGGCGGACGGGUGAGUAAUGCCUAGGAAUCUGCCUGGUAGUGGGGGAUAACGUCCGGAAACGGGCGCUAAUACCGCAUACGUCCUGAGGGAGAAAGUGGGGGAUCUUCGGACCUCACGCUAUCAGAUGAGCCUAGGUCGGAUUAGCUAGUUGGUGGGGUAAAGGCCUACCAAGGCGACGAUCCGUAACUGGUCUGAGAGGAUGAUCAGUCACACUGGAACUAAGACACGGUCCAGACUCCUACGGGAGGCAGCAGUGGGGAAUAUUGGACAAUGGGCGAAAGCCUGAUCCAGCCAUGCCGCGUGUGUGAAGAAGGUCUUCGGAUUGUAAAGCACUUUAAGUUGGGAGGAGGGGCAGUAAGUUAAUACCUUGCUGUUUUGACGUUACCAACAGAAUAAGCACCGGCUAACUUCGUG